Triticum aestivum (bread wheat) is the source of this 778-nucleotide long non-coding RNA. RefSeq lists it as uncharacterized. The record is from RefSeq and is a predicted model, not a curated record. NCBI's taxonomy places the organism in Eukaryota, Viridiplantae, Streptophyta, Magnoliopsida, Poales, Poaceae. The transcript is spliced from 3 exons.
GAAAAGCUAUUCGCACGAUCUCUCGCCCAUCCCGCACGACCUCUAGCGGUCUCGCCCCCUCCUCCUCCUCCUGCACCGUUCCUCCCGCACCGUUAGCCGCCGGAGCCGCUACCUGUCGCACCCUUCGCCACGGAAGAGCCGGAGCCGCCGCAGGUCGCGGCCCUUCGCCGCGGGAGAGCCGGAGCCGCCACCCGACGCGCGCCACGGGAGCCGCGUAGGUCGCCGUCCUUCGCCGCGGGAGAGCCGGAGCCGCCACCCGUCGCGCGCCGCGGGAGCCGCCGCAGGUCGCGCCCUUCGCCGCGCCGUAGCGCCCUUCGCCGCAGGUCACCGCCCUUCGCACCCUUCGCUGCGGGAGCCGGAGCCGCCCGCCGCCCCGGGUCCUAUUCUGCCCCCACGCGAUUCGACGACGAGGACGCCGGCGGAGAACCGCUGCUACAAAUCCUCACGCUCGCCUCCACCAGUCACAUGGUCUCCAGUCAUCAAGACGCCCUCACCCUCCUCAGACUGCUGCUGGUGCUGCCAACACCACUAUCCUUCAUCUCGAUCCGGUUCCAGCAAGGAACCCAUCGCCGCGCCGACCAGUCCAAGGAACUCACAUCACCUCCAUCAAGGAAAACAAUGACCUAUGUGAUUAGAAAUAUGUGCUUGCUUCUUCAUGAAGAGCCAAAAAAGGUACCAAUUGGUCCUUCUAUUUAAAUAAAUGAUGCUGCAUGUUUAAAAUUAUAUGUUAAUCCCAUUAUUUAUUUUCAGUGCAAGAAUAUGCAGAUAGAAUACACAC